This is a non-coding RNA of Mycena metata, 97 nucleotides long. NCBI's taxonomy places the organism in Eukaryota, Fungi, Basidiomycota, Agaricomycetes, Agaricales, Mycenaceae. The record is from the annotation of a GenBank genome assembly.
GACUCGAAGGCGCAGGGUGCGCAUCCGCUAUAAAUUAGAGCUUCUGCAUUUAGUACUGUUCAGGCGGAGCACGUCGGUUCGACUCCGGCUCGAGUCC